This 73-nucleotide transfer RNA is filed under the name gamma proteobacterium HTCC2207. RNAcentral's name for it is "tRNA-Asn". It matches the Rfam family "tRNA". Rfam says of the family: Transfer RNA (tRNA) molecules are approximately 80 nucleotides in length. Their secondary structure includes four short double-helical elements and three loops (D, anti-codon, and T loops). The record is from RNAcentral. Lineage: Bacteria; Pseudomonadati; Pseudomonadota; Gammaproteobacteria; Cellvibrionales; Porticoccaceae. RNAcentral also lists the same sequence under 1 other name.
UCCGCCUUAGCUCAGUUGGUAGAGCAAAUGACUGUUAAUCAUUGGGUCCUUGGUUCGAAUCCAAGAGGUGGAG